GACGAACGCUGGCGGCGUGCUUAACACAUGCAAGUCGAACGGAAAGGCCCUGCUUUUGUGGGGUGCUCGAGUGGCGAACGGGUGAGUAACACGAGAGUAACCUGCCCUUGACUUUGGGAUAACUUCAGGAAACUGGGGCUAAUACUGGAUAGGAGCUCCUGCUGCCUGGUGGGGGUUGGAAAGUUUCGGCGGUUGGGGAUGGUCUCGCGGGUUAUCAGCUUGUUGGUGGGGUUGUGGCGGACCAAGGCUUUGACGGGUAGCCGGCCUGAGGGGGUGACCGGCGACAUAGGGACUGAGGUACGGUCCAGACUCCUACGGUAGGCAGCAGUGGGGAAUAUUGCAGAAUGAGCGGAAGCCUGAUGCAGCAACGCCGCGUGCGGAAUGACGGCCUUCGGGUUGUGAACCGCUUUCGCCUGUGACGAAGCGUGAGUGACGGUAAUGUGUAAAGAAGCACCGGCUAAAUACGUG
This 468-nucleotide ribosomal RNA is filed under the name uncultured bacterium. Its description in RNAcentral is "partial 16S ribosomal RNA". It matches the Rfam family "Bacterial small subunit ribosomal RNA", at positions 28 to 507 of the family's 1533-position model. The record is from RNAcentral.